RNAcentral lists this ribosomal RNA (200 nucleotides) under uncultured bacterium. RNAcentral describes it as "partial 16S ribosomal RNA". It matches the Rfam family "Bacterial small subunit ribosomal RNA", at positions 1301 to 1500 of the family's 1533-position model. The record is from RNAcentral.
CAGGCUGCAACUCGCCUGCAUGAAGUCGGAAUUGCUAGUAAUCGCUGAUCAGCAUGCUGCGGUGAAUACGUUCCCGGGCCUUGUACACACCGCCCGUCACACCAUGGGAGUCGGUAACACCCAAAGUUGGUAGCCUAACCGCAAGGAGGGCGCCGCCUAAGGUGGGAUUGAUGACUGGGGUGAAGUCGUAACAAGGUACC